AGAGUUUGAUCCUGGCUCAGAUUGAACGCUGGCGGCAUGCCUUACACAUGCAAGUCGAACGGCAGCACGGGGGCAACCCUGGUGGCGAGUGGCGAACGGGUGAGUAAUACAUCGGAACGUGUCCUGUAGUGGGGGAUAGCCCGGCGAAAGCCGGAUUAAUACCGCAUACGCUCUACGGAGGAAAGGGGGGGAUCUCAGGACCUCCCGCUACAGGGGCGGCCGAUGGCAGAUUAGCUAGUUGGUGGGGUAAAGGCCUACCAAGGCGACGAUCUGUAGCUGGUCUGAGAGGACGACCAGCCACACUGGGACUGAGACACGGCCCAGACUCCUACGGGAGGCAGCAGUGGGGAAUUUUGGACAAUGGGCGAAAGCCUGAUCCAGCAAUGCCGCGUGUGUGAAGAAGGCCUUCGGGUUGUAAAGCACUUUUGUCCGGAAAGAAAACCUCCGCCCUAAUAUGGUGGGGGGAUGACGGUACCGGAAGAAUAAGCACCGGCUAACUACGUGCCAGCAGCCGCGGUAAUACGUAGGGUGCAAGCGUUAAUCGGAAUUACUGGGCGUAAAGCGUGCGCAGGCGGUCCGCUAAGACAGAUGUGAAAUCCCCGGGCUUAACCUGGGAACUGCAUUUGUGACUGGCGGGCUAGAGUAUGGCAGAGGGGGGUAGAAUUCCACGUGUAGCAGUGAAAUGCGUAGAGAUGUGGAGGAAUACCGAUGGCGAAGGCAGCCCCCUGGGCCAAUACUGACGCUCAUGCACGAAAGCGUGGGGAGCAAACAGGAUUAGAUACCCUGGUAGUCCACGCCCUAAACGAUGUCAACUAGUUGUUGGGGAUUCAUUUCCUUAGUAACGUAGCUAACGCGUGAAGUUGACCGCCUGGGGAGUACGGUCGCAAGAUUAAAACUCAAAGGAAUUGACGGGGACCCGCACAAGCGGUGGAUGAUGUGGAUUAAUUCGAUGCAACGCGAAAAACCUUACCUACCCUUGACAUGUAUGGAAUUUCUACGAAAGUAGAAAGUGCUUUUAGAUAACCGU
RNAcentral lists this ribosomal RNA (1027 nucleotides) under uncultured Burkholderiaceae bacterium. RNAcentral's name for it is "bacterial SSU rRNA". It matches the Rfam family "Bacterial small subunit ribosomal RNA", at positions 8 to 1030 of the family's 1533-position model. The record is from RNAcentral. Lineage: Bacteria; Pseudomonadati; Pseudomonadota; Betaproteobacteria; Burkholderiales; Burkholderiaceae.